AUCGUCUGUGGCUCUUACCGAUUGAAUGAUCUAGUGAAAUAUUCAUAUUUUGGUGAUAUUGACGGUUUACUACACACAACGUCAUGAGAAAUCUAUUUAACCUUAUCAUUUAGAUGAAGAAAAAGUCAUAAUAAGAUUUUUGAGGGUAAACCUGUGGAAG
Molecule: non-coding RNA, 160 nt
Filed under: Solanum tuberosum (potato)
Lineage: Eukaryota; Viridiplantae; Streptophyta; Magnoliopsida; Solanales; Solanaceae
Source: Rfam by way of RNAcentral